AGGUCCUUGUAAUUCCCUUGAACGUCUCUUGGUUUGUUCUUGUUGAUCAACAUCCAUCAGAGAUAUCAGCUCUCCAAUAAGUGUUUACCUUUAAAUUCUCCUCUUCUCUUCUCCUCUUCUAAAACCCUCCUAGGAGGGGAAGCUCUCACAUCUCUCUAGCUCCUUUCUCCCACAUCGACUCACCUCCACCUUCUUGCCUACUUCUAGUAGUAGCUCUCUGCCCCGACGGUGGCAGGGCAUAACACUGAUUCUUCAUGUUUAAGAUGCACAUCCUCCUCACCCAUCAGAAUCAACUUCACCGGAUGUUUGUUGGUCCUUCGGAACUCCGACGUCGGCGUUGUAUAGCUUGUCUCUUUAGAAAGGGUUUUCCCAUUACCACACAUAAAUCUGAUGAAUACGGUAGUGCCUCAAGGGACUGCACGGUCUUCGGAUGUCUAUCCCUUUGAUCCCUCUGCGUAUCACCUCUUUUUUUCUUCUGUUAUGGUUCCUGUAUUGGUAUCUAAGGAUGUUUUGUAUGGCUAAGAGAUUUGGAUUGUGAAGAUCUUU
This is a long non-coding RNA of Rosa rugosa (rugosa rose), 546 nucleotides long. RefSeq lists it as uncharacterized. NCBI's taxonomy places the organism in Eukaryota, Viridiplantae, Streptophyta, Magnoliopsida, Rosales, Rosaceae. The transcript is spliced from 2 exons. The record is from RefSeq and is a predicted model, not a curated record.